This 251-nucleotide ribosomal RNA is filed under the name uncultured prokaryote. RNAcentral describes it as "partial 16S rRNA". It matches the Rfam family "Bacterial small subunit ribosomal RNA", at positions 525 to 775 of the family's 1533-position model. The record is from RNAcentral.
AUGGAGGGAGCUAGCGUUGUUCGGAAUUACUGGGCGUAAAGCGCACGUAGGCGGCUUUGUAAGUCAGAGGUGAAAGCCUGGAGCUCAACUCCAGAACUGCCUUUGAGACUGCAUCGCUUGAAUCCAGGAGAGGUGAGUGGAAUUCCGAGUGUAGAGCUGAAAUUCGUAGAUAUUCGGAAGAACUCCAGUGGCGAGGGCGGCUCACUGGACUGGUAUUGACGCUGAUGUUCGAAAGCUUAGGGAGCAAACAG